GCCGAGUUCCAGCCAAUCACAGGCAUCCGCAGAACCCGGGACGGAAGGAACAUGCAGUUUCAGACUUAACUUUCGGCGGGCUCCCGGGUUCCCAGUGCUUCUUUGCUUAAGCUGCUAAGGGUAACAUAUUAACAUAUUUCACCGAUGAGGAAAUGUCGCUUGCUUCCGUUCUGUGCGUCGUGGACAGAUGGCGUCCCAAAGCACUGAAGCUCCUAGAGGAUACGUGUCAGUAUCCUGCUCUGGAAAAGAUGCGGAUGGCUGUUUUCCCAAACUCCGUCCUUGGGUAUCUGCUCACCCUUAUGCUUCUGCAGCUGCCCACACUGGAUGCAGACACAAGCCAAGAGUCAAUGCAAGCAAUGGUAGUUCACAUCCUUACCUCAAAAGGAAAUUGUCCAAAAUUUUAAUCAUUAUUAUAACUCUCCCUCUUACCCAAUUUGGAGUUUCUCGAUGGUUGCAGUAUUCCUGGGACUCACUGGAAUAUUUGUCUGUUGGCAACUGUAUAGAAAACGUGUAA
Molecule: long non-coding RNA, 514 nt
Filed under: Cavia porcellus (domestic guinea pig)
Lineage: Eukaryota; Metazoa; Chordata; Mammalia; Rodentia; Caviidae
Description: lncRNA (ENSCPOG00000035283.1)
Source: RNAcentral